AACGCACCUUGCGCCCUCUGGUAUUCCGGAGGGCAUGCCUGUUUGAGUGUCAUGUAGACUCAACCCCCCGGGUUUCUGGGGAGGUCGGACAUGGGCGCUGCCGCCUGUCGGCUCGCCUCAAAUGACUGAGUGGGGACGUCGCCCCGUCGGGAGUAAUAAGUUUCUUCCGCCGGCCGGCGAGCGAACCGCUGAGAACCACCAUCUAUGACUCUGACCUCAAAUCAGGUAGGGCUACCCGCUGAACUUAA
RNAcentral lists this unclassified non-coding RNA (248 nucleotides) under uncultured fungus. RNAcentral describes it as "partial contains 5.8S ribosomal RNA, internal transcribed spacer 2, and large subunit ribosomal RNA". The stretch from base 1 to 52 matches the Rfam family "5.8S ribosomal RNA", at positions 103 to 154 of the family's 154-position model. Lineage: Eukaryota; Fungi. The record is from RNAcentral.